Molecule: ribosomal RNA, 305 nt
Filed under: uncultured bacterium
Lineage: Bacteria
Description: bacterial SSU rRNA
Rfam family: Bacterial small subunit ribosomal RNA
Source: RNAcentral
GUCCUACGGGAGGCAGCAGUGGGGGAUAUUGCACAAUGGGGGGAACCCUGAUGCAGCGACGCCGCGUGAGUGAAGAAGUAAUUCGUUAUGUAAAGCUCUAUCAGCAGGGAAGAAUAAAUGACGGUACCUGAGUAAGAAGCCCCGGCUAACUACGUGCCAGCAGCCGCGGUAAUACGUAGGGGGCAAGCGUUAUCCGGAUUUACUGGGUGUAAAGGGAGCGUAGACGGCAUGGCAAGUCUGAUGUGAAAACCCGGGGCUCAACCCCGGGACUGCAUUGGAAACUGUCAGGCUAGAGUGUCGGAGAG